Pan troglodytes (chimpanzee) is the source of this 2102-nucleotide RNA transcript. It is a transcript of the gene named beta-1,4-galactosyltransferase 7, with no coding region annotated. The record is from RefSeq and is marked provisional. NCBI's taxonomy places the organism in Eukaryota, Metazoa, Chordata, Mammalia, Primates, Hominidae. The transcript is spliced from 7 exons.
CGGCGGACCGGGGGGCGGGGCGGACAGGCCUGGGCGGAGCGGGAGGCGGAGGCGCCGCGUAGGCCCGGGAGGCCGGGCCGGCCGGGCUGCGAGCGCCUGCCCCAUGCGCCGCCGCCUCUCCGCACGAUGUUCCCCUCGCGGAGGAAAGCGGCGCAGCUGCCCUGGGAGGACGGCAGGUGGGAUAUCACCCCAUAUCCAUCUCUCCAGUCUCUACCCUGUCCCCAGAAAAAGCCCAGAGGGCAAGGGAGAAUCUGUAGAGGUUCCAGCCUUCCCAGACCACUCUCAGGACUGGGCUGUGCUCCUCCGCAGCUGAAUCCACCACCACAGGAUAAUGGGGGGUCCGGGUUGCUCUCCGGCGGCCUCCCUCGGAAAUGUUCCGUCUUCCACCUCUUCGUGGCCUGCCUCUCGCUGGGCUUCUUCUCCCUACUCUGGCUGCAGCUCAGCUGCUCUGGGGACGUGGCCCGGGCAGUCAGGGGACAAGGGCAGGAGACCUCGGGCCCUCCCCGGGCCUGCCCCCCAGAGCCGCCCCCUGAGCACUGGGAAGAAGACGCAUCCUGGGGCCCCCACCGCCUGGCGGUGCUGGUGCCCUUCCGCGAACGCUUCGAGGAGCUCCUGGUCUUCGUGCCCCACAUGCGCCGCUUCCUGAGCAGGAAGAAGAUCCGGCACCACAUCUACGUGCUCAACCAGGUGGACCACUUCAGGUUCAACCGGGCGGCGCUCAUCAACGUGGGCUUCCUGGAGAGCAGCAACAGCACGGACUACAUUGCCAUGCACGACGUUGACCUGCUCCCUCUCAACGAGGAGCUGGACUAUGGCUUUCCUGAGGCUGGGCCCUUCCACGUGGCCUCCCCGGAGCUCCACCCUCUCUACCACUACAAGACCUAUGUCGGCGGCAUCCUGCUGCUCUCCAAGCAGCACUACCGGCUGGUUCAAGGCCCCGUGAGAACGGGAGAGGGCCCGGGACGCGCUGCUUCCUGCCGCCCGCACUGCAGAAGUGCAGGAGCCUGCAAGCACCCGGGGCUUAUUCAGAGGCGCCGGGGGAGAGGGGCACUCCCGAGCGGUAGGAGACCAAAGGCCCCCCCCGGGAAGAUGGGCCGAGUGACGCUGCUUGUCUCUGUGUCAGUGCAAUGGGAUGUCCAACCGCUUCUGGGGCUGGGGCCGCGAGGACGACGAGUUCUACCGGCGCAUUAAGGGAGCUGGGCUCCAGCUUUUCCGCCCCUCGGGAAUCACAACUGGGUACAAGACAUUUCGCCACCUGCACGACCCAGCCUGGCGGAAGAGGGACCAGAAGCGCAUCGCAGCUCAAAAACAGGAGCAGUUCAAGGUGGACAGGGAGGGAGGCCUGAACACUGUGAAGUACCAUGUGGCUUCCCGCACUGCCCUGUCUGUGGGCGGGGCCCCCUGCACUGUCCUCAACAUCAUGUUGGAUUGUGACAAGACCGCCACACCCUGGUGCACAUUCAGCUGAGUUGGAUGGACAGUGAGGAAGCCUGUACCUAUAGGCCAUAUUGCUCAGGCUCAGGACAAGGCCUCAGGUCGUGGGCCCAGCUCUGACAGGAUGUGGAGUGGCCAGGACCAAGACAGCAAGCUACGCAAUUGCAGCCACCCGGCCGCCAAGGCAGGCUUGGGCUGGGCCAGGACACGUGGGGUGCCUGGGACGCUGCUUGCCAUGCACAGUGAUCAGAGAGAGGCUGGGGUGUGUCCUGUCCGGGACCCCCCCUGCCUUCCUGCUCACCCUACUCUGACCUCCUUCACGUGCCCAGGCCUGUGGGUAGUGGGGAGGGCUGAACAGGACAACCUCUCAUCACCCCCACUUUUGUUCCUUCCUGCUGGGCUGCCUCGUGCAGAGACACAGCGUAGGGGCCAUGCAGCUGGUGUAGGUGGCAGUUGGGCCUGGUGAGGGUUAGGACUUCAGAAACCAGAGCACAAGCCCCACAGAGGGGAACAGCCAGCACCGCUCUAGCUGGUUGUUGCCAUGCCGGAAUGUGGGCCUAGUGUUGCCAGAUCUUCUGAUUUUUCGAAAGAAACUAGAAUGCUGGAUUCUUAAGUGAUAUCUUCUGAUUUUUUAAAUGAUAGCAACUAAAUGAAACUUUCAAAAAGUA